This is a long non-coding RNA of Homo sapiens (human), 1076 nucleotides long. Ensembl annotates it as long intergenic non-protein coding RNA 1198. Lineage: Eukaryota; Metazoa; Chordata; Mammalia; Primates; Hominidae. The record is from Ensembl.
CCACCGCGCCCGGCCCCAAGCCCUUGUCUUUUAAUGGGUCAAUUGCAUCAUCCUCACCUAUGAAUGACAGCACUGGAAAUGGUGACUCCAUGGGUGGCGUCGGACCCCUGUCAGAGAGUAAAUCUCAAGUAAGGUACCUGCCAUCGGCAGAUUUGAGCUUUCUUCUUGGACACCUAAUACCCACAGUCCUCCAGGCUCCGGUAGACUGCAAAUGACCUGCUUUCUUUCUGUUCCCGGGCUGCGUUUGGACCCCUGUCGGAUAGUAAAUCCCAAGUAAGGUACCUGCCCUCGGCAGAUUUGAGCUUUCUUCUUGGACACCUAAUACCCACAGUCCCCCAGGCUCCGGUAGACUGCAAAUGACCUGCUUUCUUUCUGUUCCCGGGCUGCGUUUGGACCCCUGUCGGACAGUAAAUCCCAAGUAAGGUACCUGCCCUCGGCAGAUUUGAGCUUUCUUCUUGGACACCUAAUACCCACAGUCCUCCAGGCUGUAGAUGAAGGGGUUCAGCAUGGAGGUGAUCACCGUGUACAUCACUGAGGCCACUGCAGCCUUUCUCGGGGAAGAUGACACAUCUGAACUGAGGUACCCUCCAAAGCCUGUUCCGUAAAAUCAGCAAACAACUGACAGGAUAACUUCAGGAAGUGGGUAUUAAUUCUCACGGUAUAAGUGAAGACAUUAAGCACCAGAGUUUAAGUAGCUUGAUCCACUGAAAGAGAUUCAACUGUGUGGAACCUAUGCCGUGGAGAAUUGCUUUCUGCCAUUGUUAUCGUCCAGCAGUUGCCGAAUAGCUCUGACCUGAGCAAAGCAGUGAAACGCGGUGCUGUUGAGUGGGUUGCCACUGCACCUUUUUCAACUACUCUAGUCUUGUGGAGAAAAUACCCCUUCUAAAUUUUUUCUUCAUUGAAUACUCUCCCUCAGCUCCAGAGUACCAUAUAGAGUUUUCUUGUAUUUUAGAGUUACUGUUUUAUCAAAGUUUACCAGUCUUUUGUAUUACAUUUCUCCUGUCUAAAUCGACUGUGUGGUUUCUACUCAUUAUGGAUAUAGAUUGAUACAAACUCAAUAAAUAUUUUUGAAUGAA